CACAUUUCUAAAUGUGCAAAAUUGUCUGUUAUUGUCCACACCUGCAAGUAAUCAGGCACUCUAUAUCUGUGUCCCUAUUUUUGAAUGAACAAAUAUGGCCCCAUUGUUGCAUUCAUUAAUUGAUAGUCCACAACUCAUUGUUACUGUAGCACUGCCCACUUUAUUGAAUAAAACGCAUGUAAUCAGGAACACAGAAAAAACACACAGCACUACAGCGUAGACAAUUUAAAAGGUAUCACUGAACAUGAAGUGUCAUAUUAUGAAGACCAUUUACCAUAUGUACAAUGCAACUGUAACAUAUUUACAGAUUUAUUAAGGCAUAUUAAAAUUUUUACGUACCUACAACAUUUGUAGAUGUCAAACACAUUGUAGUCCAGGCCUUUUGAUGGGGACAUCAUUUUUGCAGAGUAGAAACUCUUUUUUUGGUAAACCUGAUAGGCCAUGCUGCACAGUGGGGACCUAAACAUCAUAAGUAAAGGUAUUAUACAACAGUUAGUUCAGGCCCGGGGCUAGGACAAAGUAACUGGGGGCUGUUAAAAAUGUUGAGGGGGCUAAUGUGUUUUUUGGCAGUUUUUCGACACUGUUGGGGUAUUAAAACUUAAACAGGGGGCUAAGCCCCCUCUUGCCCCCUCGUGGCGCCAGGUCUGUAUUAGUUCCACUUAGUUUCACCCAAUUCGUUUCAAUGGACAAGGGGCAUUCCAUGACUUACUAUUCAGCGUUACCGCACAGGGACUUUUAACUACAUGUAUCACUCCGCUUUACAGGUGUUCUAAUAAACGUUUAGUUUAUGUGUUGCUUGGCAACAGUCAAGUCAGAGUCCAGUUGCAGAACAAUAUACGUUGUCAAAUAAAUGAAUAAAAAAAGAAAAAUCUAUCAGUUGUCAUUAUUUCGGUUAACUAAUAAAUGGCGCUCGCAUAACUGUUGUAUAAAACCCGGCCUGUGGCCUCAUGCCUACGACCAAAUCACAACCGUGAUAUAUUCACAACAACAGCACGACCAAGUGUGAUAUUGCUUAACCUUAAGAUUAACAACAGUCACAUGUUUAAUUUGUUUCAAGUAUAGAGACUAUACCUGUGCACCUGGAAUCAUGUUCGGCAGGGCUUUAUGGAAUUCUUCCAGGCUGCUGCUUCCAUGCAGACACACCUAGUAGGGCAUGUCCACAUUCUUGAUGGCUGUGCUACACGCCACCCUACACAGGUAUAUGUCUGGUAGAAACUGGAUGUACUCCAGGUGUCGCUGCUGGCCUGCCCAAAUCUCAUCAAUGUGUACACUACAAUUCACAUGGAAUAGCCUUCAUUUCACAGAACAAACUGAGAAUAAGAAUAAACUGACGAGUUUCAGAAGAAAGGCCUUGGUUUCUGGCCAUUUUGAGCCUGUAAUCAAACCCACAAUUGCUGAUGCUCCACAUCCUCAACUAGUUUAAAGAAGGCCAGUUUUAUUGCUUUAAUCAGCACAGCAGUGUUCAGCUGUGCUAACAUAAUUGAAAAAUGGUUUUCUAAUGGUCAGUUAGCCUUUUAAAAUGAUAAACUUGGAUUAGCAAAAACAAUGUCACAUUGGAACACAGGACUGAUGUUUAUAUACUGUGGAUAUUGCAUUACAACAUAUGUACACUGGAUUUCUGAUCAAUUUGAUGUUAUUUUAAUGAAAAUAAAAUUUUCUUUUGAAAACAAGGACAUUUCUAAGUAAUCCUAAAAUUCAGAAAAGCAGUGUACAUAUAUACAACAUACAUACAUACCAACUAUUUUGUUAAGAUCUCUUGAAAAAUCUAAAAAGGAAGAAAGUAGACGGUCAUUUCUUAUUGUUGAGUCUCUAUAUUUUUCCCCUACAUGGUUUGGCAUUUGUGCUGCUGAAGAAAAGGCACUGAGUCAACAAUGAUUGGUGAGCCAAAGGUACUUUCCUCCUCUAAACUAUCACUGUUAGGCUGGGACGUUUUGGGACAUACAUCUGCAUGGUUGAUUACUGGUCUUCAGAAACUGUAGUUAUAUGCUCCCUCUCUCUUAUCAUUUCUUCCUGAUUGUUUGACUGUAGGGGGGUGGGGCUUGGAUUCUCUCCAGUGGAUCAGCAGACCUGUCUGGGGCUUGCUGUGUCUGCAGGUUCUAAAUUUAUGAUUUGUGGCUCUACACAUAUUGCAUUUCAUGGGCUGGUCACAGUUUUCUGAGCUACAUUCACUACAUUCUGCAGCAAGGUGGCCUAAAGAACCACAUUUCCUGCAGCCCUUUUAGCUGGCCUGCAUAGAAAACAUGUCCUCUACAUGGUCCUAAUUGGAUAAUUGAUGGCAGGUGUUGCAGUCUAGUUAGGAUACCGUCAUCAUCCCUCAACUCCUUACCACGCAAAACAGUACAGUAAACGGAAAGCCACGUUUGGAUAACUUCUGUCUUGAUUUUCUCUGAAUACAUAACAGCGGUAACUGUUCUGGCGUCUUUCAGAUCGCCGUAUAAAAAGUGGUAAAUGUUUUCAGGUUCAAACGGCCUAUACAGGUUUCAAACAAGGUGAAAGUAGAAAAAAAAAAUCCCUGGCAGGUCAAAGACGUAGUCAAGCUGGUGUGCUGAAAAACCAAGAUCGCUCUGAAUAAGUCGCCUAAACUGGAGUAUGUCCAUCUCCAGAUUCUCUCGAAGUUCAAAUCAGACAGCAUUCUGACGAGUCAUGGACGUCGUGAUUUUUCAACAGGUCUUCACAGCAGUCCUCUUCGAAACUGCAAGCGAGGUUCUUGAAAUCCAACUUGACGAUUGUUCCGUUAGAAAGCCUGGGUGAUGAUCUCGGUGUCUCCCUUGCCAGGUGUUUUGAAACAGCUCACUCCUCUCGUCCAGCCCAGCAUGACCUUUCAGCUCCUCAAUGGCCAGGUGGAUAAUCCUGAACGUUUCCUGAGUGUGACCCCCCCACACGUGGUGUUUGAGGUGCUCCCUGGAAAUGUAGUGGCGGACAACAUCCUCAUCUGACAGCUUUGCCGGGUCCUUGGCUCUGACGGCCUUGAUGAGCAGCUUCAGGUCUGUGCGGUUAUAGGCCAGCACUGCCCCAGCUAGCGCAGACUUGAACGUAGCAUACUUGGAGUGGGACUCUGUGCGUGUGGCUGCGUUUAACCUGUGGAUCCAGGGAAAGAUGUCCAGACGCACAACCAUCCCAUUGUCCACCCAAGGCUGGAACCAAAUCCCCAGCGCUGUUGGGCCCUGC
This is a long non-coding RNA of Esox lucius (northern pike), 3168 nucleotides long. NCBI's taxonomy places the organism in Eukaryota, Metazoa, Chordata, Actinopteri, Esociformes, Esocidae. The record is from Ensembl.